UUCUACAGUAGUUUUAUUACAUUCAAUAUCUUACACAUUUUUAUUAGUGUCAUUGCAGCUUCUUUGUGAACAAAACCUAUUCAUUCAUUAAUAAACAGAGAAAAACAUCACAUCCAUGAGAUCUUCCCAAAUAGCAGUUUCAAGUCUUUAGGAGAUAUUGGUUUUAAUACAAGGUGAAUUUAUUUAAAUAUUAGACGUAUGCAUUGAAACAUGUAUCUAAACGUAAUGUAAAUGCAAACAGUAAGUGUUUGUUUAGAUUGAAUGAAUCAUCUCUGAGAAUGGAUAAGGCACACCUGAUGGCUUUUAGGUAACCAGUAGAACAUUUAGAUUUUUUUGUUUUUGUCGAAGAAAAAUAUCAUUAGAAAUCCCAGAAAUAUCCUCACGGACCUUCAAACACAAUAAUAGUUUUUUUCUCUUACCAAAUCAAUGCAUGAAAAGCUAACAUAAUCAGGCAACCAGGCAAAUAAAAAGCAGCGAAGAACAUAAACAACAAAACAUUUAAAAAACAACAAACAACCACAACUAAAGAAUCAUUCACUCCAGUCCAGUUGCCAGGGAAACAAAGCUAACAUCAAGGCCUGAGGCUUACAUUAGAGCACCUCAUAUACACCCUGGCAUGGCUGUAUUCUGAGACCCUACAGGCACCAGGAAGACGACUGUUUCAGGCCCUCUUCCCCCCCGCGUUGGGCAGACUGGAGGCUUGUUUGUGGUAGCAGUCCGGGGGGCUAGUGUUCAUGCCUGUAGGGACGUAGUACAUGCUAUCCAGGUAGCUCUGGUCCAGAGGUGCAUGACUCUGGGGCUCCGGCUUGGACCCCUGGCUCCCGGGGCUCCCAUAGCCGACCUGAGCGCCAUUCUGGUGCAUCGUCCCUGGGACUGGAGCCUCUGGGUGGCGGGGUGGCUGGGGCUGGGGAUGAGGUGCAGGAGGAGGGGGGCCAUAGGGGAGGUACUGGGGGGCUGGGGCAUAUAUAUUGGGGUUGUGGAUGGAAGAGUAGGGGGCCGCUGAGGCAGUGGAGUAGGGAGCGGCCAAAGGAGGGUAAAGUCCUGAGUGAGACAUGGUACUCUGAGGGAUGAGCACCUCCACGUACUGGCCCGUCUCUGGAUCAAACAGCAUCUUCCUCAGUGGCUGCACAGGCACCUCAAUGUAGAAAUACUUCCCCGUGUCAGGAUCCAUGAGGACCCUGCGAGGGGUUUGCCCGUACCCCAGACCACCUGUACUGUCUGGGUAGUCAGACCCAGACAGACUCCCAUAAUCAGAUCCAUAGGAUGGCCCUAGGCUCUGUGAGCUGCACAAGUACUGAGGGUCCAUAGGGGGCAGGUUGGGAGAGUGGCUGUGGUCACUGUAGGGGCCCCCGGAGACAGAUGGCUGGCCCUGGGGGGAGCGGUGGAGAGUGGGGGCCCGGCGGGGUUCCAUGUGUUGGGGGUGCUGGAGAGGGCGGUCAGCCAGGCAGGGCUGGAGUAUGGAGGGGUGGGGUUGGUGGAGGGACUGGUACAUGCCUGGAGGGGGCUGAGUGGGGCUGGGGAGGUUGGAUGAUUUGGGAGAGCUGGGCUGGUAGCCGAUUGAUCUCAGAGAAUGGGGAUCCGCUCUGCACUGGUGUAGGCGGAGAGGAGGUUGACCAGGGGAGUGGGAGGGGGAGGGGAAGGGAGGGGUGUGGGGGGAGUGGUGGUGGUGAUGGGGUGUAAGGCCGUGGGAGGGGCAGCCAGAGGUGCAGGAGCAGGGAGGGGGACGGGAGGAGGCAGAGGAGAAGGGAGAGGAGGGGUGGUAGCGGUUCAGCUUCCUCUGGGGCAGGUCAGGUAGGUGGAGGGGGCUGAACCUCUCUCUCUCGUCAUAACUAGGGGGGUCAUCUGAUGCGUAGAAACGCAGGUCGUCUGCCCUCUGCGAGUGGUCGCUAGACAAGGAUCUGUGUAUGGGCUGCUGUGUGUGUAUGUGGUGUGUGUAUACGGGAGCCUGUGUGUUUGUGGAUACCGUGGCAGGUUGGUUUGUAUUGUUGAAGGUAACCGGCAUAGUUUGCUCCUGAGGGUAUGCUGUUUUUGUUUUUGGAUGCUGCAGGUGGUUGGUUAUAUCCACAUCAGCUGACUGGCUUGAGUGUAUGGCAGGGGAAUUGGUAGGGACUUGGGCAGGGGCAUGGGUAGGGACUUGGGCAGGAUCUGGGGCAGCAGGGGCUUGGUUCGGAGCUGGGGCUGGAGCUGGGGCUGAGACUGUGAGGGUUGUGGGUCUCUGUGUGUAGCUGGGGGCCUCUCCUUGUCCCUGGGUUGAGGCCUCUGGUUGCUUUGGCCUUUCAUUGGAUGUCUCUGUGUCUACUGUUGUUGAUGGUGGUUUGUGAGAGAAACUAGCGAUGAUUGUUGUUUUGGUAGGUGAAGGCCUGUAGCUAGACACUGCAGAAACUGAUAACUUUUUAUUGUAGUUAGACGCUGGGGUCGAAUUAUUCGAUAGAUGUCUGUGGAUAGUCGUAGCUGAAGUUGAUGGUUUCUCAUUGUUCACAGGUCUCUCCUCUUCUGUGUUCUGUUUGAAGGUUGAUGUUGGUGCUUCCACGGAUUUCUGCUGUAUUUCAUUGGACAGUGAAUUUGCAUCUGUCGGUUUGAACUUUGGUUUCAGUGCCAGUGGCGGACCGUUGGAUAUUGAGUGAACCUCUAUAGCUUGCGGUCUGGUGUUUGACGUGAUGUUCUUCUCUUGUUUAUCUUGUUUAUGUAUUUCUUUGGACAACGACCUCACCUCGAUCACUUGUGGUCUGUAUCUUCUCAUCAGUGCUGGUGAGCCUGGUAGCGAGCCUGGUAACUUAGGUGAGUAGGUUGAUUUCUUCACCGUCUCUUUUUCAGCAGUGUCUUCCUGUGUUUUCUUCUGUGAGGGUGGUGGUGAUGAUGUCGUGCGUUGCUCUAUGUCUCUGACCGUGGCUCUGACACUAACCCUCUCCUGAUUCGAAGGGGUCCUAACACUGUCUUCCGUUUGAGCAGAGUCUCUUCGAAGCCCGGGAGAAUUUGGGGCCGAAUGGGUAUGUGAGGAAGAGGCUGAUGCAUUGACGGAAGAUGAGGAAAAGGAUGAGGCUGAAGUUGAUGCAUUGACAGAGGUCGAGGAGAAGGAUGAGGUUUCUUUCACAGUGCUUGAGGAUGAUACGGAUGAGGCUGCUUUCACAUAGGAUGAAGAAGAGGACGAGUAAGUUCUCUGUCUGUGUGAGUCACUCGUACCCCCAUCUGAGGGUCCACGGGUCUGAAGAGGGAUCUCUAUUUGGUUGAUAUGUUUCCCUGGGACGCCUCCACCUCCACCCCCACCUUCACGCCCACUCCUUGUUAUGGCCUCUGACACAGCCUCAGAGACCAAAGACCCAAUAUCUGCCUGGUAGCCCUUCUCCUUCACCAGUAUGGACACAGAGUGGCUGGGGGUAGGGGUCUUGAUGGGGACAGUGGAAGGUGGAGUGCCUAGAACUGGGGAUGAAGCUGGUGCUGGAGGAGAAGCUGGGGCUGGCGAAGCUUUGGGACCAAGUGAGGGUGAGGAGGCCAGGAUUGGAGCUGGGGCUGGGAAUGCUGGAGCUGGACCUGGGGAACAGGCAGGAACUAAGGCUGAGAAUGACUUGGGCUUAUUAGAUCCAUCCUGUAGCACCAGAGAAGCACAAGACACUCUUCUGUCUUUACUGGGGAGUUUAGGGCUGCUGCCCAGCAUAGGUGGCUUGGUAUCUCUUCUCACCACUUCAGGUUUGUCACUAGCCUCUGAUAUACUUCGGUGUCUCCUGGUUACUCUCAGUGACUCUGUUUCACUGGGUUUCACCUUGGUGUUGCUUGGUUCUGUUUUGACAGUGUCCUUUACAGGGGUCUUGUGUUGGUUUGACUCUGUCUCUGUCACAGCUACUUCCUCUGUUGCGCAACUCUUAGGUGCUACAUCAGAGAGGUUCCGGGGUCCUUUGGACACCGGCUUAGGUUCGCCUCUAGACGUUUCUCUCUCUGUUUUGUUGGACAUUGUUGUUGUUUUGUUUUUGUUUUCUCUCCAGCUGAUAGCUUUGAAUUCCAUCUGCAUCGGCUUUUCCUCUUUCUGGAGAGAUAUUGGGUGAGGUGGUAGCUUGUCCUCUUUCUGAAGAGAUAUUGGGUGAGGUGGUAGCUUUUCCUCUUUCUGAAGAGAUAUUGGGUGAGGUGGUAGCUUUUCCUCUUUCUGAAGAGAUAUUGGGUGAGGUGGUAGCUUUUCCUCUUUCUGAAGAGAUAUUGGGUGAGGUGGUAGCUUUUCCUCUUUCUGAAGAGAUAUUGGGUGAGGUGGUAGCUUUUCCUCUUUUUGAAGAGAUAUUGGGUGAGGUGGUAGCUUUUCCUCUUUCUGAAGAGAUAUUGGGUGAGGUGGUAGCUUGUCCUCUUUCUGAAGAGAUAUUGGGUGAGGUGGUAGCUUUUCCUCUUUCUGAAGAGAUAUUGGGUGAGGUGGUAGCUUUUCCUCUUUCUUCUCUUCUCUCCUUACUAUUGUCUCUUCAUACCUCCCCUCUUUCCUUUCCACUCUGUCAUCUUUCUUCUCUUCCCUCCUUUCCUCCUUCCUUUCCUCUUUUCUCUCCUCCCUCCUUUCCUGUCUCGGUUCCUCUCCCCUCUCCUCACUCCUCUCCUCCUUCUCUGGUGCUGGCAUGGCCUUGAACGACAGGUUGUAUGUGUUUUUCACCAGCCUUCUCACAUCUCUCACUUUGUGCAUGGGAGCUUUGGCUUUACUGUUCCUAUUGGCAUCCAUAUUCACCAUCUGUUCAUUCAUCUUGUUCAAGGUAUUCACCCCCUUCUCUUCUUCUCUUGUUACUCUAUGUGAAGUCCCUAUUCUCCUGUCUUCCUCUCUGGUUUCUGCAUGUGAAGUCUCCACUGUCCUGUCUUCUUCUGUUGUUUCUCUCUGACAGGUCUUCCCAGGGGAGGCAGUCUCGUGGUUACCCUCAGGUUUAGUUUCUAUCUCGGGCAACAGUGAGAUGUUGAGAGAAGAGGUUUUCUUUAUCUCUGUAACAGGGCUGGGUUUCAGAGUGAUCUCUGGUGUUUUGGACAUGUAGGUGCUCUUGACACUCGGAUGUUUAUGGUUUAAAGAGUCAGAGGGGUAUUCCAGCUUUGUGUUUGUCAUUCCUGCCUGCGUGCUGCUGGCUCGGGUGGCAGUGGGAACGCUGGUGUUCCGGGCAGCUGCAUCUGCUGAGUCACCUGCCUGUUUGUAAUCCCUCUCAUCCCUCCAUUUACUGUCAUCCCUCUCAUCCCUCCAUUUACUGUCAUGUGUCUGCUUACCCCCCAUAUUGGCAUUCUUCUCUGUGGGUUUUUUACUCUCAAACGGGAACACCAGUUCAGACCUCAUCUCUGGUUUGACCGGGUCAGUUCUCCAAGAGUUUGGGUUUCUGGCAGGAGACUCAGUUCUGUCGCUGUUUCUCUGAGGACAAUUAGUAGUAGGGGGCUCAGAUCUCAUCCAAGGGCUAACAUGGUUAGGGCUUCUGUUGCUGUGAGAUUCAAUUCUCUCGUUGCUUCUCUGAGGAAAGGUAACAGGAGCAACAUGUGCGUUGGGACUCAUCUCAGGGGUUGUGCUGGUAGGUUCAGGCCUCUCGUUGCUUCUCCGAGGAAAGGUAACA
Long non-coding RNA from Oncorhynchus tshawytscha (Chinook salmon), 5543 nucleotides. The record is from Ensembl. Lineage: Eukaryota; Metazoa; Chordata; Actinopteri; Salmoniformes; Salmonidae.